CAGCCGCCACGGGAAUACGAAGGGGGCUAGCGUUGCUCGGAAUGACUGGGCGUAAAGGGCGCGUAGGCGGAUUGCUUUGUCAGAUGUGAAAUUCCAGGGCUUAACCUUGGGGCUGCAUUUGAGACGGGUGAUCUAGAGUGGAGAAGAGGGUCGUGGAAUUCCCAGUGUAGAGGUGAAAUUCGUAGAUAUUGGGAAGAACACCGGUGGCGAAGGCGGCGACCUGGUCUUUUACUGACGCUGAGGCGCGAAAGCGUGGGGAGCAAACAGGAUUAGAUACCCCUGUAGUCCCUGUCUCUUAUAC
Molecule: ribosomal RNA, 301 nt
Filed under: uncultured bacterium
Lineage: Bacteria
Description: partial 16S ribosomal RNA
Rfam family: Bacterial small subunit ribosomal RNA
Source: RNAcentral